CCUACGGGAGGCAGCAGUGGGGAAUAUUGCACAAUGGGCGCAAGCCUGAUGCAGCCAUGCCGCGUGUAUGAAGAAGGCCUUCGGGUUGUAAAGUACUUUCAGCGGGGAGGAAGGGAGUAAAGUUAAUACCUUUGCUCAUUGACGUUACCCGCAGAAGAAGCACCGGCUAACUCCGUGCCAGCAGCCGCGGUA
RNAcentral lists this ribosomal RNA (192 nucleotides) under uncultured Escherichia sp. RNAcentral's name for it is "partial 16S ribosomal RNA". It matches the Rfam family "Bacterial small subunit ribosomal RNA", at positions 338 to 522 of the family's 1533-position model. The record is from RNAcentral. Lineage: Bacteria; Pseudomonadati; Pseudomonadota; Gammaproteobacteria; Enterobacterales; Enterobacteriaceae.